GACGAACGCUGGCGGCGUGCUUAACACAUGCAAGUCGAACGGAAAGGCCCUUCGGGGUACUCGAGUGGCGAACGGGUGAGUAACACGUGGGUGAUCUGCCCUGCACUUUGGGAUAAGCCUGGGAAACUGGGUCUAGUACCGAAUAGGACCACGCGCCUCAUGGUGUGUGGUGGAAAGCUUUUGCGGUGUGGGAUGGGCCCGCGGCCUAUCAGCUUGUUGGUGGGGUAAUGGCCUACCAAGGCGACGACGGGUAGCCGGCCUGAGAGGGUGACCGGCCACACUGGGACUGAGAUACGGCCCAGACUCCUACGGGAGGCAGCAGUGGGGAAUAUUGCACAAUGGGCGCAAGCCUGAUGCAGCGACGCCGCGUGAGGGAUGACGGCCUUCGGGUUGUAAACCUCUUUCAAUAGGGACGAAGCGCAAGUGACGGUACCUAUAGAAGAAGCACCGGCCAACUACGUG
RNAcentral lists this ribosomal RNA (462 nucleotides) under uncultured bacterium. RNAcentral describes it as "partial 16S ribosomal RNA". It matches the Rfam family "Bacterial small subunit ribosomal RNA", at positions 28 to 507 of the family's 1533-position model. The record is from RNAcentral.